RNAcentral lists this microRNA precursor (205 nucleotides) under Oryza brachyantha (malo sina). RNAcentral's name for it is "MIR812 microRNA precursor family". It matches the Rfam family "MIR812 microRNA precursor family". Lineage: Eukaryota; Viridiplantae; Streptophyta; Magnoliopsida; Poales; Poaceae. The record is from Rfam by way of RNAcentral.
AAUAAACGAAUUUCUGUGUUUUUUUUGAAUUUUUGACUUUCGUCUUAUUUGAAAUUUUUUUAUAAUUAAUAUUUUUUAUUGUUACUACAUGAUAGAACAUAAAUAAUAUUUUACGUGUGACUAAUUUUUUUUAAUUUUUCAAUAAAAUUUUUAAAUAAGACGGAUGGUCAAACGUUUGACCUAAAAGCCUAGAAAUCCUCUUUUU